Molecule: non-coding RNA, 475 nt
Organism: Odocoileus virginianus texanus
Lineage: Eukaryota; Metazoa; Chordata; Mammalia; Artiodactyla; Cervidae
Source: RefSeq, a predicted model, not a curated record
GAGAUCCCGGUGCUGAAGACCAACGCCGGACCUCGAGAUCGGGAGUUGUGGGUGCAGAGACUCAAGGAGGAAUAUCAGUCUCUUAUACGGUAUGUGGAGAACAACAAGAAUGCGGACAAUGACUGGUUCCGACUGGAGUCCAACAAAGAAGGGACUCGGUGGUUUGGAAAAUGCUGGUACAUCCAUGACCUCCUCAAAUAUGAGUUUGACAUCGAGUUUGAUAUUCCUAUCACAUAUCCCACUACUGCUCCAGAAAUUGCAGUACCUGAACUAGAUGGAAAAACAGCAAAGAUGUACAGGGGUGGCAAAAUAUGCCUGACCGAUCACUUUAAGCCUUUGUGGGCCAGGAAUGUGCCUAAGUUUGGACUAGCUCAUCUCAUGGCUCUGGGGCUGGGACCAUGGCUGGCAGUGGAAAUCCCCGAUCUGAUUCAGAAGGGAGUGAUUCAGCAUAAAGAGAAAUGCAGCCAAUGAAGGA